CUCCUACGGGAGGCAGCAGUCGAGAAUCAUUCACAAUGGGCGAAAGCCUGAUGGUGCGACGCCGCGUGGGGGAGGAAGGUCUUCGGAUUGUAAACCCCUGUCAUGUGGGAGCAAGACUUCGGUUUGAUAGUACCACAAGAGGAAGAGACGGCAAACUCUGUGCCAGCAGCCGCGGUAAUA
Molecule: ribosomal RNA, 180 nt
Filed under: uncultured bacterium
Lineage: Bacteria
Description: partial 16S ribosomal RNA
Rfam family: Bacterial small subunit ribosomal RNA
Source: RNAcentral